RNAcentral lists this ribosomal RNA (382 nucleotides) under uncultured eukaryote. RNAcentral describes it as "partial 18S ribosomal RNA". It matches the Rfam family "Eukaryotic small subunit ribosomal RNA", at positions 592 to 976 of the family's 1831-position model. The record is from RNAcentral.
CAAUAGCGUAUAUUAAAGUUGUUGCAGUUAAAAAGCUCGUAGUUGGAUUUCUGGUUGAAGCGACCGGUCGGGCGUUGAUUCGUCUGCACUGGAGUCGGUUUUGGCCAUCCUCUAGGAAAGUGCGUCUGGUAUUAAGUUAUCGGGCGUAUGAUCCUGGUCUUUUACUGUGAAAAAAUUAGAGUGUUUAAAGCAGGCCUUCGCCUUGAAUACAUUAGCAUGGAAUAAUAAGAUAGGACUUUGGUCUAUUUUGUUGGUUUGCAGACCGAAGUAUUGAUUAAUAGGGAUAGUUGGGGGUAUUUAUAUUCCGAUGUCAGAGGUGAAAUUCUUAGAUUUUCGGAAGAUAAACUUAUGCGAAAGCAUUUACCAAGGAUGUUUUCAUUAA